RNAcentral lists this ribosomal RNA (253 nucleotides) under uncultured bacterium. RNAcentral describes it as "partial 16S ribosomal RNA". It matches the Rfam family "Bacterial small subunit ribosomal RNA", at positions 524 to 776 of the family's 1533-position model. The record is from RNAcentral.
UACGUAGGGUCCGAGCGUUGUCCGGAAUUAUUGGGCGUAAAGGGCUCGUAGGCGGUUUGUCACGUCGGGAGUGAAAACUCAGGGCUCAACCCUGAGCGUGCUUCCGAUACGGGCAGACUAGAGGUAUGCAGGGGAGAACGGAAUUCCUGGUGUAGCGGUGGAAUGCGCAGAUAUCAGGAGGAACACCAAUGGCGAAGGCAGAUCUCUGGGCCGUAACUGACGCUGAGGAGCGAAAGCAUGGGGAGCGAACAGG